RNA transcript from Fundulus heteroclitus (mummichog), 1122 nucleotides. It is a transcript of the gene named dromaiocalcin-1-like, with no coding region annotated. NCBI's taxonomy places the organism in Eukaryota, Metazoa, Chordata, Actinopteri, Cyprinodontiformes, Fundulidae. The transcript has 3 exons. The record is from RefSeq and is a predicted model, not a curated record.
AUGUGAAACAAUAUGUUUUCAUCUCCGCUAUGAAAACAUGGGGAUCUGCUCAAUCUUACUGCAGAACGCACUACACUGACUUGGUGACGAUCGAUAGCGAAGAAGAAAACCUUGAAGUCAAAAAGAUAAUUCCAACUAAUGACAAUGCUUGGAUCGGUCUGUACAGAGUGCCGUGGCUUUGGUCAGACAAAACCCAAAAUUCCUUCCGAAACCAGGGCUCUGUCGACUUCAAUAGCGGAAAUCAGCAUUGUGUCCUUCAGAACCCAUCACAUCUGUGGUCUGAUAACAAUUGUUAUAUUAAAACCUUUUUUAUCUGCCACCAAGUGGUAAGGAUGGCCACCACCACUGUAAAGAUAGCUACCGUGACUGAUGCUGAUCUGACUGAUCCAGCCAUCAACGCCCAGGUCCUCCAACAGGUACACUUGGUGCCCUGUUGACACGUCAGGGAUGGACAGAUUUUCAAAUACGAUGGAAGACUGAGCCCAAGAAAAAGGACAAAAAUUAAUGCACAGAACUUCAGUGUAAUUUACUUGCUUAAUGUUGUUCUUUGCAAAUGUAUCACCCUUGUGUUGUUUUAUUUCACUUUAAGCAGUAGUUUUAUAUCCUUUGGUGAAUCAAAUUGCAAAACAGCAGCAAACAGCACCAGUGUGUUUGCUUAGCAGGGGUGGUUCCUUCAUGGAUGAGAACCAGGGAAUCCCCAACAACUGGUGCCCUACUCCAUCCAACACCCACUACCCGAUAAACCCUGGUCUGCAAUAACCAAACUUUACAUCAUGUUAUUUCUUAGAAAGAUUAAGAAAUUAAAAAAUGUGUUUAGCACUAGUUAUUUUUGUGAAAUAUAUAGAGAAAGAUUAAAUAUGUAGAGAAAUAUGUUUCACUACUUUACCACUUAAUUUUAUUAAUCACACACUUUAAUGCAAAAAUAAUUUAAUAGAGGUUUGAAGUUUUGAUUUAGAGAAGGAACUCUGAAAAAGAUUGCUUGAUCGUUAUUCAUUGUUUAUAUAUAAAAUCAAUAUUGUAACCCAAGCUGACCUGAAAAUGUUUAAAAGCGUGAUUUCUUUGAGACGGAGUUGUCUAGAUCCAGUCUACCUGCAUCGAUCUGCAAAAAAACAAACUUUAUAU